Molecule: long non-coding RNA, 1688 nt
Organism: Oncorhynchus tshawytscha (Chinook salmon)
Lineage: Eukaryota; Metazoa; Chordata; Actinopteri; Salmoniformes; Salmonidae
Source: Ensembl
UUUUGUUAUCCGUGGCAAAAGGUUUUGCUACAGUGUGCACUAAUGAAUAUGACCCAGAAAUCCUAGAUAAUAGAAAUCAUUCAACUGGACCAAAUAUACAAAAGUAUGUGGACACCCCUUCAAAUGAUUGAAUUCAGCUAUUUCAGCUAAAUCCGUUGCUGACAGGUAUAUAAAACCGAGCACACUGCCAUGCAAUCUCCAUAGACAAACAUUGGUAGUAGAAUGACCCGUACUGAAGAGCUCACUGACUUUCGGCGUGGCACCGUCACAGGAUGCCACCUUUCCAACAAAUCAUUGUGUCAAAUUUCUGCCCUGUUAGAGCUGCCCUGGUGGUGGAAAUGUCUAGGAGCAACAACGGCUCAGCUGUGAAGUGGUAGGCCACACAAGCUCAUAGAACAAGACCACCGAGUCUAAGAUCACCAAAAUGCCAAGCAUAGGCUGGAGUGGUGUAAAGCUCACUGCCAUUGGACUCUGGAGCAGUGGAAACACGUUCUCUGGAGUGAUGAAUCACGCUUCACCAUCUUGGCAGUCCGACAGAAGAAUCUGGGUUUGGCGGAUGUCAGGACAACGCUACCUACCCUAAUGCAUAGUGCCAACUGUAACGUUUGGUGGAGGAGGAAUAAUGGUCUGGGGCUGGUUUUUAUGGUUCAGGCCCCUUAGUUCCAGUGAAGGGAAAUCUUAACGCUACAGCAUACAACAACAUUCUAGAAGAUUCUGUGUUUCCAACUUUGUGGCAACAGUUUGGGGAAGGCCCUUUCCUGUUUCAGCAUGACAAUGCCCCCGUGCACAAAGCGAGGUCCAAACCGAAAUGGUUUGUUGAGAUCGGUGUGGAAGAACUUAACUGGCCGGCACAGAGCCCUGACCUCAACCCCAUCAAACACCUUUGUGAUGAAUGAGAGCCAUGGAAGCAUGUCACUGCAGCAAUGUUCCAACAUCUAGUGGAAAGCCUUCCCAGAAGAGUGGAGGCUGUUAUAUCAGCAAUGUUCCUACAUCUAGUGGAAAGCCUUCCCAGAAGAGUGGAGGCUGUUAUAGCAGCAAUGUUCCUACAUCUAGUGGAAAGCCUUCCCAGAAGAGUGGAGGCUGUUAUAGCAGCAAUGUUCCAACAUCUAGUGGAAAGCCUUCCCAGAAGAGUGGAGGCUGUUAUAGCAGCAAUGUUCCUACAUCUAGUGGAAAGCCUUCCCAGAAGAGUAGAGGCUGUUAUAGGGGGGACCAACUCUAUAUUAAUGACCAUGAUUUUAGAAUGAGAUGUUGGAUAAGGUGUCCACAUACUUUUGGUCACAUAGUGUAUUUACAGCUAAAUAUAUACACAAUUAAAAUGACUACAUGCAAAUCAAUUACACUCAAUAUCAAUGGUCCCUUUAUAUAAACAAUACCUGAUGGGACGCAUCAUAGAACAACAGAACACGGUGACAAAUGGACGAACAAACAAAUAAAAUGAACAGACCUGGGCUGUAUCCCAAUGAUCUCUCCUUCCUCCUAAAUUGUUCACUUCCCUAAUCUAAAAGUAGCGAACAAGUGUACACUUCGAGAGAAAGGAGGUAUUAUUGGGACGCACACUCAGUCAGCAGUUGCCAUAGUAGUCGGCGGGGAGGCAUCGGUGUUCCCGGUUGGCUGCUGGUUUAGUUGACCUUGGAGGUCAGAGGUCACAGGUGGAGUCGUCCCUGGCUGCGCUUGGACUGCUGGGGGAU